This 495-nucleotide ribosomal RNA is filed under the name uncultured bacterium. RNAcentral's name for it is "partial 16S ribosomal RNA". It matches the Rfam family "Bacterial small subunit ribosomal RNA", at positions 28 to 505 of the family's 1533-position model. The record is from RNAcentral.
GAUGAACGCUGGCGGCGUGCCUAAUACAUGCAAGUCGAGCGAACAGACGAGGAGCUUGCUCCUCUGACGUUAGCGGCGGACGGGUGAGUAACACGUGGAUAACCUACCUAUAAGACUGGGAUAACUUCGGGAAACCGGAGCUAAUACCGGAUAAUAUAUUGAACCGCAUGGUUCAAUAGUGAAAGACGGUUUUGCUGUCACUUAUAGAUGGAUCCGCGCCGCAUUAGCUAGUUGGUAAGGUAACGGCUUACCAAGGCGACGAUGCGUAGCCGACCUGAGAGGGUGACGGCCCCAACUGAAACUGAGCACGGGGCCACACCCCAAGGGGGGGCAGCAGGAGGAAAUUUUCCGAAAGGGGCAAAACCCGAAGGGAGAACGGCCGGGGGGGUGAGGAAGUCUUUCGGUUGAAAAACCUUUUUUUUUGGGGAAAAAAAAAUGGGAAAGUACCUAGGCACUUUUGGACGGUACCAAAUCAGAAACCCCCGGCUAACUCCG